This 336-nucleotide ribosomal RNA is filed under the name uncultured bacterium. RNAcentral's name for it is "bacterial SSU rRNA". It matches the Rfam family "Bacterial small subunit ribosomal RNA", at positions 72 to 422 of the family's 1533-position model. The record is from RNAcentral.
AAGGGGAGCAAUCCCUGAGUAAAGUGGCGACCGGGUGAGUAACACGUGACUAACCUACCCUCGAGUGUGGAAUAACAUCGGGAAACCGAUGCUAAUACCGCAUAACAUCGCAAGAUCAAAGCCGCGAGGCGCUUGAGGAGGGGGUCGCGGCUGAUUAGCUAGUUGGCGGGGUAACGGCCCACCAAGGCGAAGAUCGGUAGCCGGCCUGAGAGGGCGCACGGCCACACUGGAACUGAAACACGGUCCAGACUCCUACGGGAGGCAGCAGUGGGGAAUUUUGCGCAAUGGGGGAAACCCUGGCGCAGCAACGCCGCGUGGAGGAUGAAGCCCCUUGGG